This 1150-nucleotide unclassified non-coding RNA is filed under the name Hevea brasiliensis (rubber tree). Lineage: Eukaryota; Viridiplantae; Streptophyta; Magnoliopsida; Malpighiales; Euphorbiaceae. The record is from RNAcentral.
CGCGUAGUUAUCCCGUGCUCGCCGGCCUUGGUCGGGAAUUAUCCGUCUCGCAGCGACGUCGUCUCGUUUGACUGGUGAGAUCUCUUGUCUCUCUCUGGCUCUCUGUCGCUUCCUUCCAAAUUUUCCCUCUCUACUUUCUCGCUCUAAAAUUCUUAUAAGACCGCCCAUUUUCACUCUCACACGGAGAAGAGUACAGAGUUCUGCUUCGCCGAUCACUUGUUUUCUCUCCCUCUUACUCUCUUCUUUGGUACACUUUCCCUCUCUACUUUCUCUUUCUAUAUGUAUUUGUAUGUGUAUCUAUCUCUAUGUACAGAUGUCAAAUGUGUAAUUUUAGCUUUCGGAAAAGUGAUCUGUGAGCAAUCUUAUAGCAAGAUCUUGCUAUUAUCAGCUUUUUCUUUCAACAUUUGUGUUUGUUUGUGUGUUUCUUUUUUCUUUCGUUUUUUUUUUUUGGGUUUUUGAAAUGAAUCGAGGAGAUUUAGAUCCUUGUUUGUUUGUUUUUUCUUUUUCUUUACUUGCUGGAGUGAUUUGCUUAUGUCAAUUGAGCUGAAUUUGUUAGUUUGAUUAGUAAUUCACUUUGGUUGUACAUUUCGUCGUUAUCGUUUGUUUAUAUAUGUAGAGUUUGAGAAAUAUUAUAGUAUGGCUUUUCAAUUUGUAGUUAAUCAUUCUUGGGGUUUGAAAGUGUACUCGCUACCACACCCCCACACCUUAAUUGGGCGUGCAAUUUUUGCACAGUGUUGACCUACACCUAUGGACUUAUUGUUGUGUUUGUGUAGUAUUUAGCAAUUAAUCCUGGUAUGUUUAAAGUGAAGUUAAAGGAAAAUAUAGAUGAUGGUGUUUCAUCAUGAAUGUGUCCUUAGCUGCUCCUAGUUUUUUUUGUUGAGAAGAAUAGAAGAGAGAGGAAUGGUACUUGUGGCUGUGAAAUAUUGUUGUCAUUGUUGUAUCUAAGUGCUAGGCUAAAUAGCUGCUAAAUAAGUUUUUAAACCCCGUAGUGAUUGGCCUAUUCACCUUACAAGGGAAUUGAUGAUUUAAGGGUCAAACGAUUCUUCAACUAUUAUUGCUACAUGCGCAACUUGAAUACCUUUGUUGGUGAUGGUUCAUGGCAUAAUGGUUGAAAAAAAAAAAGAAGGGCUAGAAAACUCUCUUUUUUUUU